AUCUUGGACAAUGGGCGAAAGCCUGAUCCAGCCAUGCCGCGUGGAUGAUGAAGGCCCUAGGGUUGUAAAAUCCUUUCGUUGGGGACGAUAAUGACGGUACCCACAGAAGAAGCUCCGGCUAACUUCGUGCCAGCAGCCGCGGUAAUACGAAGGGGGCUAGCGUUGUUCGGAUUUACUGGGCGUAAAGCGCGUGUAGGCGGGCUGGAAAGUUGGGGGUGAAAUCCCGAGGCUCAACCUCGGAACUGCCUCCAAAACUUCCAGCCUGGACUCAAGCAGAGGCAAGUGGAAUUGCGAGUGUAGAGGUGAAAUUCGUAGAUAUUCGCAGGAACACCAGUGGCGAAGGCGACUUGCUGGGCUUGUAGUGACGCUGAGACGCGAAAGCGUGGGGAGCAAACAGG
This 398-nucleotide ribosomal RNA is filed under the name uncultured bacterium. RNAcentral describes it as "bacterial SSU rRNA". It matches the Rfam family "Bacterial small subunit ribosomal RNA", at positions 361 to 776 of the family's 1533-position model. The record is from RNAcentral.